Long non-coding RNA from Sander lucioperca (pikeperch), 219 nucleotides. RefSeq lists it as uncharacterized. The transcript has 3 exons. The record is from RefSeq and is a predicted model, not a curated record. NCBI's taxonomy places the organism in Eukaryota, Metazoa, Chordata, Actinopteri, Perciformes, Percidae.
AGAGCAGCUGGGUGAAGAAAUGCAGAAUGAGAAACUGCUUCAGCUGAAGAUCCAGAAACAUCACAGCUGUGAGAGCAGCUGGAGGAAGUAAUGCAGAAUGGGAAACUACUUCAGCCGGGCUAAAGAUCCAGAAACAUCACAGCGUGUGAGAGCAGCUGGGUGAAGAAAUGCAGAAUGGGAAAAUGGUUUAGCCGGCCUGUGGAUCCAGAAACAUCACAG